RNAcentral lists this non-coding RNA (246 nucleotides) under Bacillus gaemokensis. RNAcentral's name for it is "T-box sequence". It matches the Rfam family "T-box leader". From Rfam's summary of the family: Uncharged tRNA acts as the effector for transcription antitermination of genes in the T-box leader family. T-boxes are found upstream of many aminoacyl-tRNA synthetase genes and some amino acid biosynthetic genes usually in Gram-positive bacteria. The record is from RNAcentral. Lineage: Bacteria; Bacillati; Bacillota; Bacilli; Caryophanales; Bacillaceae.
AAGAAAGCAAAGAAGAGGAAAGUAGACGAUACAAAUUGUUUCAGAGAGCUACCCCGUGGCUGUGAGGGUGGUAACAAUUAUAUCGAUUGAAGAUCACCUCAGAGUACUACUCACGAAAGGAAACAAGUAGGGGGUAGCGGAGUUGUUCCCGGUAGAAGAACAAAAGUCUAAUUCGGACUUACAGAGCUUAUAUUUCGCGAGAAGUAUAAGGAAGCUGAGUGGUACCACGAUUCCCUCGUCUCAGCA